Molecule: ribosomal RNA, 472 nt
Filed under: uncultured bacterium
Lineage: Bacteria
Description: partial 16S ribosomal RNA
Rfam family: Bacterial small subunit ribosomal RNA
Source: RNAcentral
GACGAACGCUGGCGGCGUGCUUAACACAUGCAAGUCGAACGCUGAAGCUUGGUGCUUGCACUGGGUGGAUGAGUGGCGAACGGGUGAGUAAUACGUGAGUAACCUGCCCUUGACUCUGGGAUAAGCCUGGGAAACUGGGUCUAAUACUGGAUACGACAUGUCACCGCAUGGUGGUGUGUGGAAAGGGUUUUACUGGUUUUGGAUGGGCUCACGGCCUAUCAGCUUGUUGGUGGGGUAAUGGCUCACCAAGGCGACGUCGGGUAGCCGGCCUGAGAGGGUGACCGGCCACACUGGGACUGAGACACGGCCCAGACUCCUACGGGAGGCAGCAGCGGGGAAUAUUGCACAAUGGGCGGAAGCCUGAUGCAGCGACGCCGCGUGAGGGAUGACGGCCUUCGGGUUGUAAACCUCUUUCAGCACGGAAGAAGCGAAAGUGACGGUACGUGCAGAAGAAGCGCCGGCUAACUACGUG